Cuculus canorus (common cuckoo) is the source of this 459-nucleotide long non-coding RNA. RefSeq lists it as uncharacterized. Lineage: Eukaryota; Metazoa; Chordata; Aves; Cuculiformes; Cuculidae. The transcript has 3 exons. The record is from RefSeq and is a predicted model, not a curated record.
UCUCCAGGCUGAACAACCCCACCUCUCUCAGCCUGUCCUCGGAUGGGAGGUUCUCCAGCCCUCGUAUCAUCCUUGGAGCCUCCUCUGGACCCAUUCCAACAGCUCCAUCUCCUUUUUUCUGUGGGAAAGGGACCAAAACCCGUGUGCAAAGUACAGCUGCAUGGCUCAAAACACCUCUUGUCCUCCUUAAUAUAUUCCUUCUCACACUGCCUGACUUGUUACCGCGCGAAGGCAGAGAGGAUUUUGCUGUGGAAACUGUUGCCCCUUCCCUCCCAUCUGCUUUGCGGUGUUUACGACGCAGCAAACCUCAGCUGCAUCGCACAGCGGAGCCAUAUGGCAUCCAUAGAUUGUCUCCAUCUGCUGUCUCUUGCCUUGCAGUUAAAUUGUGAUUGCUCUGAAACAAGAACCAUAUUUUCACGCUGUGUUUUUGGAGCUCCUACUGAAAGGAGAUCUUCAUUC